UGGGGAAUCUUCCGCAAUGGACGAAAGUCUGACGGAGCAACGCCGCGUGAGUGAAGAAGGCCUUCGGGUCGUAAAGCUCUGUUGUCAGGGAAGAAAGGUACUUCUGUGAAUAAUGGGAGUAAAUGACGGUACCUGACGAGGAAGCCACGGCUAACUACGUGCCAGCAGCCGCGGUAAUACGUAGGUGGCAAGCGUUAUCCGGAAUGAUUGGGCGUAAAGGGUGCGUAGGCGGCACGAUCAGUCUGGAGUAAAAGCCGAUGGCUCAACCAUCGUAAGCUUUGGAAACUGUCGAGCUAGCGUGCAGGAGAGGUUAGUGGAAUUCCAUGUGUAGCGGUAAAAUGCGUAGAUAUACGGAGGAACACCAGUGGCGAAGGCGGCUAACUGGCCUGUAACGGACGCUGAAGCACGAAAGCGUGGGGAGCAAAUA
RNAcentral lists this ribosomal RNA (427 nucleotides) under uncultured bacterium. RNAcentral describes it as "bacterial SSU rRNA". It matches the Rfam family "Bacterial small subunit ribosomal RNA", at positions 355 to 774 of the family's 1533-position model. The record is from RNAcentral.